GAAAAUGCAUUAACAAAAUUAGUCGGUCCAUUCACUUUUUUUUACUUGUGUAUGAUUAAGAACAUCUCUAAUGAGUUAUUAUUGAAAAAUUGAGUAUAAAAAAAUAAGAGCAUUUAAGAAUCAUUAUUGGAGAUGAUUUUGAAAGAAGUUUAUUUCCAAUUGAGAUUUUAGUUCAUAAAAAUAUUUCCAAGUUAAAGUUUUGAAAAAAAAUAUUUUCGGAUGGAGGACUUAAGACCGAACACAAUCCAAUUUAUUCUGGUGUCACGCUCCUAAAGAUCUUUUACGCUUACGUCUGAUCGGUUGCGACUUGCACGUUAGCAUUCCGACGUUCAAGUCAGUAGAGUCACAAUAAAACCAGCGUGAAUGUUAUUAGAUCAAAAGUUUCAUACCUGGCUAAUUAUCCUUGUAUUUAUAGGUAUUAGACUCGAUUAAUAGGCAUUAACUACCCGUAAUCGUUAAUCCAUCAAUCCGUAAGAUUCGCUCACUAAAGAUCGUUACCAACGUACCCGAGAGAUUCGCUUCCUUGUCCCAACAACUAUUUCACCAUACCUGCGUUCCCUGUUCACUCGACCCGACCAACCGGUCUAACGGCCACACCGAUCAACUCCCAACUUCUCCCGACCGACUUAUUUUUAUCCGGCCAACCAUUCAUCUUUACAUCGCCACUUUCUUUUACGUUACUACGCCCCACUUAACCGGUCACCCCC
This 707-nucleotide long non-coding RNA is filed under the name Vigna radiata. RNAcentral's name for it is "long non-coding RNA (VRAD_LNC014027)". Lineage: Eukaryota; Viridiplantae; Streptophyta; Magnoliopsida; Fabales; Fabaceae. The record is from RNAcentral.